AGAGUUUGAUCCUGGCUCAGAACGAACGUUGGCGGCGUGGAUUAGGCAUGCAAGUCGAACGAGAACCUGGGGGCAACUCUGGGGGAAAGUGGCGAAAGGGGCAGUAAGGCGUGGGUAACCUACCCCCGGGACGGGGAUAGCCAUCCUAACGGGUGGGUAAUACCCGGCGAUGUAGCGGAGGCGCAUGCCUCUGUUACCAA
RNAcentral lists this ribosomal RNA (200 nucleotides) under uncultured bacterium. RNAcentral's name for it is "partial 16S ribosomal RNA". It matches the Rfam family "Bacterial small subunit ribosomal RNA", at positions 8 to 204 of the family's 1533-position model. The record is from RNAcentral.